ACCUUACGUGACCUUACAACCAAAACAACAACCUUAUGUGACCAAAACAACCACUAAAAGAUGACUUAAACAGCCUUAAGCAACCAACUUGAUGCAAGGCAACAGAUGACAACGGCCAACCACAAACCGUAAGGGAUUUAGAUCCCAAUGGGUUUUGAGGAAAAUAUUUUUACAUUAAGCAAAACUCUGAACAGAAGUUAUGUGCUCUACAACUUCCUAUUUCUUCAGUUUGGCUAUUGUACUUAACAGCAGUGUGUUGUAUGCUAUUCUAGUGGUGUUUGUAGAUCUUUUUCUUUUAUAUAAACAUGACAGCUAUCCCUUUAAAAUUUUCUAUAUUUAUUUCAUUAUUUUUUUAAUCUCAGUAUGCAUCAACAUUUUUGGGAUUUUCUGUAGAUAUCAAUAUAUGAUUUACGCAUGUCUUCUCCUCUGAGAGUUAAGGAUCACAUGUAUGGUAGCCCAAUAUUAAAUAUCAAAUGGCACCAGACACUUAAUUCUACUGAACCUAAACUGAUCACUGCUGAUAAGCACAUAAUGAGAAUCUGGGAUCCUAAUACACUGCUGUAUCUGCUC
Molecule: long non-coding RNA, 570 nt
Organism: Zea mays
Lineage: Eukaryota; Viridiplantae; Streptophyta; Magnoliopsida; Poales; Poaceae
Exons: 3
Source: RefSeq, a predicted model, not a curated record